ACAGGGAUUGCCCCAGUAACGGCGAGUGAAGCGGCAACAGCUCAAAUUUGAAAUCUGGUCCCCUUGCGGGGCCCGAGUUGUAAUUUGAAGAGGAUGCUUCUGGCAAGGUGCCUUCCGAGUUCCCUGGAACGGGACGCCGCAGAGGGUGAGAGCCCCGUACGGUAGGACGCCGAGCCUCUGUGAAGCUCCUUCGACGAGUCGAGUAGUUUGGGAAUGCUGCUCAAAAUGGGAGGUAAACCCCUUCUAAAGCUAAAUACCGGCCAGAGACCGAUAGCGCACAAGUAGAGUGAUCGAAAGAUGAAAAGCACUUUGAAAAGAGAGUUAAAAAGCACGUGAAAUUGUUGAAAGGGAAGCGCUUGCGACCAGACUCGCGCCCGUCGGAUCAGCCGUCGCUUGUCGGCGGCGCACUCCGGCGGGCUCGGGCCAGCAUCAGUUCGCCUCGGGGGGAGAAAGGCGGCAGGAAUGUGGCUCCUCGGAGUGUUAUAGCCUGCCGUGUAAUACCCCCGGGCGGACUGAGGACCGCGCGUAUGCAAGGAUGCUGGCGUAAUGGUCGUCAGCGACCCGUCUUGAAACACGGACCAAGGAGUCGUCCUAAUAUGCGAGUGUACGGGUGUCAAACCCCUGCGCGUAAUGAAAGUGAACGGAGGUGAGAGCUUCGGCGCAUCAUCGACCGAUCCUGAUGUUCUCGGAUGGAUUUGAGUAAGAGCAUAUUGGGCCGGACCCGAAAGAAGGUGAACUAUGCCUGUGUAGGGUAAAGCCAGAGGAAACUCUGGUGGAGGCUCGCAGCGGUUCUGACGUGCAAAUCGAUCGUCAAACAUGGGCAUGGGGGCGAAAGACUAAUCGAACCUUCUAGUAGCUGGUUUCUGCCG
Molecule: ribosomal RNA, 869 nt
Filed under: Microascus pseudopaisii
Lineage: Eukaryota; Fungi; Ascomycota; Sordariomycetes; Microascales; Microascaceae
Description: eukaryotic LSU rRNA
Rfam family: Eukaryotic large subunit ribosomal RNA
Source: RNAcentral